This 967-nucleotide ribosomal RNA is filed under the name uncultured Sedimentibacter sp. Its description in RNAcentral is "bacterial SSU rRNA". It matches the Rfam family "Bacterial small subunit ribosomal RNA", at positions 28 to 1012 of the family's 1533-position model. Lineage: Bacteria; Bacillati; Bacillota; Tissierellia. The record is from RNAcentral.
GACGAACGCUGGCGGCGUGCCUAACACAUGCAAGUCGAACGAAGUAUGUUUUUCGGAAUAUACUUAGUGGCGGACGGGUGAGUAACGCGUGAACAACCUGCCCUAUACAAAGGAAUAGCCUCGGGAAACUGGGAUUAAGACCGUAUAACACUUUAGUGCCGCAUGGUACAUAAGUCAAAUUGAUUAAGAGGUAUAGGAUGAGUUCGCGUCUGAUUAGCUAGUUGGUGAGGUAAUGGCUCACCAAGGCGACGAUCAGUAGCCGGCCUGAGAGGGUGAACGGCCACACUGGAACUGAGACACGGUCCAGACUCCCACGGGAGGCAGCAGUGGGGAAUACUGCACAAUGGGCGAAAGCCUGAUGCAGCGACGCCGCGUGAGUGAAGAAGGUCUUCGGAUCGUAAAACUCUGUCCUUGGUGAAGAAAAAAAUGACGGUAGCCAAGGAGGAAGCCCCGGCUAACUACGUGCCAGCAGCCGCGGUAAUACGUAGGGGGCGAGCGUUGUCCGGAUUUACUGGGCGUAAAGGGUGAGUAGGCGGUUGUAUAUGUCAGAUGUAAAAGGCUAUGGCUUAACUAUAGUAAGCAUUUGAAACUGUACAACUUGAGUGCAGGAGAGGUAAGUGGAAUUCCUAGUGUAGCGGUGAAAUGCGUAGAUAUUAGGAGGAACACCAGUGGCGAAGGCGACUUACUGGACUGUAACUGACGCUGAGUCACGAAAGCGUGGGUAGCAAACAGGAUUAGAUACCCUGGUAGUCCACGCUGUAAACGAUGAGUGCUAGGUGUUGGGUAGCGAUAUUCAGUGCCGAAGUUAACACAAUAAGCACUCCGCCUGGGGAGUACGGUCGCAAGACUGAAACUCAAAGGAAUUGACGGGGACCCGCACAAGCAGCGGAGCAUGUGGUUUAAUUCGAAGCAACGCGAAGAACCUUACCAAGGUUUGACAUCCCCUUGACAGAUGCAGAGAUGUGUC